UACAGAGGGUGCAAGCGUUGUUCGGAAUUACUGGGCGUAAAGGGCGCGUAGGCGGUUUAGUAAGUCAGAUGUGAAAGCCCGGGGCUCAACUCCGGAAUUGCAUUUGAAACUGCUAGGCUAGAGUGCAGUAGAGGAUGGCGGAAUACCCAGUGGAGAGGUGAAAUUCGUAGAGAUUGGGGGGAACACCGGUGGCGAAGGCGGCCAUCUGGGCUGUAACUGACGCUGAGGCGCGAAAGAGUGGGGAGCAAACAGG
This 253-nucleotide ribosomal RNA is filed under the name uncultured bacterium. RNAcentral describes it as "partial 16S ribosomal RNA". It matches the Rfam family "Bacterial small subunit ribosomal RNA", at positions 524 to 776 of the family's 1533-position model. The record is from RNAcentral.